Molecule: ribosomal RNA, 460 nt
Filed under: uncultured bacterium
Lineage: Bacteria
Description: partial 16S ribosomal RNA
Rfam family: Bacterial small subunit ribosomal RNA
Source: RNAcentral
CCUACGGGUGGCAGCAGUGAGGAAUAUUGGUCAAUGGACGCAAGUCUGAACCAGCCAUGCCGCGUGCAGGAAGACGGCUCUCUGAGUUGUAAACUGCUUUUGUACGAGGGUAAACGCAGAUACGCGUAUCUGUCUGAGAGUAUCGUACGAAUAAAGAUCGGCGAAGACCGUCCCAGCAGCGGCGGUAAUACGGAGGAUUCAAGCGUUAUCCGGAUUUAUUGGAGUUAAAGGGUGCGUAGGCGGUCGGAUAAGUUAGAGGUGAAAUACCGAGGCUCAACUUCGGAAUUGCCUCUGAUACUGUUCGGCUAGAUAGCAGUCGCGGUAGGCGGAAUGUAUGGUGUAGCGGUGAAAUGCUUAGAGAUCAUACAGAACACCGAUUGCGAAGGCAGCUUACCAAGCUACUUCUGACGCUGAGGCACGAAAGCGUGGGGAGCAAACAGGAUUAGAUACCCGGGUAGUC